Long non-coding RNA from Dalotia coriaria, 895 nucleotides. RefSeq lists it as uncharacterized. Lineage: Eukaryota; Metazoa; Arthropoda; Insecta; Coleoptera; Staphylinidae. The transcript has 2 exons. The record is from RefSeq and is a predicted model, not a curated record.
AGUUUAAAUCUAAAUUUAGCGUGAUUUACCGACGUAAACCUCAGAUUCGAGCCAACACACAACAAAAGCGCGUGAACUAAACAACCAACUACAUAGGUACAUAGAGUUGGGUGAAAGGAGAAUUCGUGUUUAUGAAGUUGCCUAACCAAACAAUUCCGGUGUCUGGUUAUCUUCACCUUCACCUGAGGAUAAACAAUGAAAAAUAUUGUGCAUAAAUCAUCGUUGGUUCAUACACGAAGAUGCUAAUAUAAAUUGCGUAGCGAUGCGCAGCCACGAAAAUAUCCUAAUAUGUUCUCAGUACCUGGAAGAACAUCAAAUUGUAGACACAGUGUGCCUAUCUUCAAUGUGAUUCACCAAUUCUUAUGCAUUCAGACCUGUUGUCUGUAUUUUAAGUACAUCACCAAAUCAGCAAAUACCAAAGUUACAAGAUGUUCACCAGUGAGAGUAGAUUUAUGUCUCGCAUGGCAGACAUUCUUUCUAAUGAGGAUGAAAGAAAAACCUUCAGGACUUUUCUGGAGGAGAGGCGGCGCCAUGAUCUUAGGCCUUUGAAUAUCUGGGAGGCAGUACAUAGUUUACACCAGCAGUAUCAGGAUGGUUGUACACCAGAAACAUCACAAGAUCUACUAGAUUUAUUGGAUGAACAACCUGGGAUCUCUGAGGAACAUUAUGACUUGAGUUUGGAAGAAAAUCGCGUUAUUGUGAUGAACGUAUGCUGUAAUAAGCUGGAAAAGUCUGCUCAUAGGCAAUAUACAAGGUUUAGAUUUCCGCAUUAAUGCCCAUUAAGUGUACUUAGAUGAAAUGCCCAUUAAGUUAUUUGAGUUAGUACAUUAAACUCAGGAUUUAUGUUUGUUGUUAACUAUGUUAUGUUUAAUAAAAUAAAUCAAUUUGUGAGAUA